AUAUGUAAAUCAACUAGAACGAUGCGUAGAAUCACAUGCUUCACUUGUUUUGCUGUUUAACAAAUAUAAAAUGUGAUUAGGACACAUCUAGACAGAUUUUGAAGUUAACGUGUGGGGUCGUUUCAGAGAUUCUAUAUGUCGUUUUCGGCCCCAUUUAAAAUGGCUAGAUAGGUAGCUUAUUUCCGCUUAACCCCUUGCCAUGUUUAACAACAUUUAAUAUUGCUGUGUAAAUAAUUGGAGUAAAAUAAAUAGCUUAAUGUGCAGUUCCGUCAAUAUGCAACUCGUUGCAUAUUGAGCUUCACUUAAUGUGUAGUGUUUGCGUGAUGUGAAUUACCAUGCCUUGCCUUGCAUAAUUGAAACCGAUCAUGCAUCAUAUGUGUUGUGCAUCCUAUCGUGCAUGUGACGUGGUGAAUAUCGUGUGUUGAUUCUUGUUUCUGGGUUGCUUCAUCAAGAUAGAGUUCCGUAAGCAUGUCGGAAUGUGAGGAUCCGUUCGACUACGUCGAUUCAUCUGCUUCACGGAGUCAUUCUACUUCCAAGCGGGAUCUCACGCAAGAUGACAAUUUCCCUAGAUACCAUUACUAUCAUUGCCAUGCUAGUUGUUCUGUUUCUAUCGCUAUGUCUCGUUGCCUACCACGUGUUAAAUAUCAUCCUCUCAACAUUGCCAUGAAAACCUCAAACCUGUUCACAACCUAGCAAACCACUGAUUGGCUAUGUUACCGCUUGCUUAGCCAUGUGUGAGCGUUGCUAGUUGCAGGUGCAGUUGCUUCCAUGUGAUAACAUGAGAUUCUUCUUAUAUCACCUUAUAAUUGCUAAUUAAUUAAAUGAACCUAUAUACUUGGUAAAAGGUGGAAGGCUCGGCCUUUCUAGCCUGGUGUUUUGUUCCACCUUUGCCCCCUUAGUUUCGGCUACCGAUGUUAUAUUCCAUAAUUGAGCGCUCCUAACAUGAUCGGGUUGUUAUGGGGAACCCCUUGAUAAUUCAUUUUAGAUUAAGACUGGUCUGGGAAGACCCAACUUUGGUACUACAUUUGCGAAAUAUCCUAAUGAAAAUGUAUAGGGACUUGUGGACCCCGUGGAUAAUUAAUCAAUCCCCGGGCUAGUGCUCUGCAUGAGUGUUGGUCCAAACUAGGGGAUGUCCGACGCCCCCUAGUCACCCGGGGUUUCAGCCAACCCGACGUCUUGCCCAUUCGGUCAUGCCCGGAGAACGAGAUAUGCGGCUCCUAUCGGGACUGUCGGCACGCCGGGCGGUCUUGCUGGAUUAGUUUUACCUUUUACGAAUAU
This 1278-nucleotide long non-coding RNA is filed under the name Hordeum vulgare. Its description in RNAcentral is "long non-coding RNA (HVUL_LNC007153)". Lineage: Eukaryota; Viridiplantae; Streptophyta; Magnoliopsida; Poales; Poaceae. The record is from RNAcentral.